GAUGAACGCUGGCGGUAUGCUUUACACAUGCAAGUCGUACGAGAGUUUUUAACUCAAGUGGCGGACGGGUGAGUAACACGUAAGAAUUUGCCUUUAGGAGGGGGAUAACGACUGGAAACGGUUGCUAAUACCCCAUAUGCUUUCGAGUGAAAUGGAUUUUCCGCCUAAAGAGAAGCUUGCGCCUGAUUAGCUUGUUGGUGAGGUAAUAGCUCACCAAGGCGACGAUCAGUAUCUGGUUUGAGAGGACGAUCAGACACACUGGAACUGAGACACGGUCCAGACUCCUACGGGUGGCAG
Molecule: ribosomal RNA, 297 nt
Filed under: uncultured cyanobacterium
Lineage: Bacteria; Bacillati; Cyanobacteriota
Description: partial 16S ribosomal RNA
Rfam family: Bacterial small subunit ribosomal RNA
Source: RNAcentral